RNAcentral lists this long non-coding RNA (513 nucleotides) under Homo sapiens (human). Its description in RNAcentral is "long non-coding RNA NONHSAT245483". Lineage: Eukaryota; Metazoa; Chordata; Mammalia; Primates; Hominidae. The record is from RNAcentral.
GGAAAACUGAAAAAUCACUGUCUUUAAGUACAAGAGAAAAAUGGAAAUGCAUAAAUAUUGAAAGGUUUUACAAUUUGAAAUGUUCUUUGUGGUUUUUUCUUUUUUAGGUAUGUUUUCAUAAGCAUAUAUAAAUUUAAACAUUUUUGAUAGCCUCUGGCCUUAACUUACUGAGCAUGUGUCACCAUUGCACAGCUCUUUAAACAGCCGCUUUUAAGAUCAAUGCAAUUUUUCUUUUAAUUGAAGAUUUUGAAAGAUUAAGAGUUAGUGAGAUGAGCUCUCUGCCUCUUUUAGUAGAAUUGAAUAGUCUGGAUUGUGGAUAUUAUUUCUCUCCGCCCUUUUGUAACCCUCUUUGGCUAAUGUCCUCUGUUCAUCCACGUAUUAGCCAAGUGCCAGUAACCCUGCUUUACAUUGGGAUUUCUACUCCUGGAAUGUAGGUUGAGAACCCCAGAGGGCUUCUUUUUGUUAAAUACUUUUAGUAUUCUUAAUAUGUAAUCUAAUCCAAUUAAAGUGCAG